GAUGAACGCUGGCGGCGUGCUUAAUACAUGCAAGUCGAACGAGGUGCUUUUGUAGCAAUACGGAAGUAUCCUAGUGGCGAACGGGUGAGUAACGCGUUGGUGACCUAACCCGAAGUGUGGGAUAACAGUCCGAAAGGAUUGCUAAUACCGCAUGUGGUCCCCGGGUUUAGAAACCGGUGACUAAAGCAGCAAUGCGCUUUGGGAGGGACCUGCGUCCCAUCAGCUAGUUGGUGAGGUAACGGCCCACCAAGGCGACGACGGGUAGUUGGACCGAGAGGUCGUUCAACCACAAGGGCACUGAGACACGGGCCCUACACCUACGGGAGGCAG
RNAcentral lists this ribosomal RNA (330 nucleotides) under uncultured Chloroflexota bacterium. RNAcentral's name for it is "bacterial SSU rRNA". It matches the Rfam family "Bacterial small subunit ribosomal RNA", at positions 28 to 351 of the family's 1533-position model. The record is from RNAcentral. Lineage: Bacteria; Bacillati; Chloroflexota.